Molecule: ribosomal RNA, 492 nt
Filed under: uncultured bacterium
Lineage: Bacteria
Description: partial 16S ribosomal RNA
Rfam family: Bacterial small subunit ribosomal RNA
Source: RNAcentral
AGUGAACGCUGGCGGUAGGCCUAACACAUGCAAGUCGAACGGCAGCACAGUAAGAGCUUGCUCUUACGGGUGGCGAGUGGCGGACGGGUGAGGAAUACAUCGGAAUCUACUUUUUCGUGGGGGAUAACGUAGGGAAACUUACGCUAAUACCGCAUACGACCUACGGGUGAAAGCAGGGGAUCUUCGGACCUUGCGCGAUUGAAUGAGCCGAUGUCGGAUUAGCUAGUUGGGUGGGUAAAGGCCCACCAAGGCGCGGAUCCGUAGCUUGUCAGUGAGAAUGGUCAGCCACCCUGGAACUGGGACACGGUCCAGACUCCUACGGGAGGCAGCAGUGGGGAAUAUUGGACAGUGGGCGCAAGCCUGAUACAGCCAUACCGCGUCGGUGAAGAAGGCCUUCGGGUUGUAAAGCCGUUUUGUUGGGAAAGAAAAGCAGCAGGUUAAUACCCAGCUGUUCUGACGGUACCCAAAGAAUAAGCACCGGCUAACUUCGUG